This 253-nucleotide ribosomal RNA is filed under the name uncultured bacterium. RNAcentral's name for it is "partial 16S ribosomal RNA". It matches the Rfam family "Bacterial small subunit ribosomal RNA", at positions 524 to 776 of the family's 1533-position model. The record is from RNAcentral.
UACGAAGGGGGCUAGCGUUGCUCGGAAUUACUGGGCGUAAAGGGUGCGUAGGCGGAUACUUAAGUCGGGGGUGAAAGCCCGGGGCUCAACCUCGGAAUUGCCUUCGAUACUGGGUAUCUUGAGUUCGGGAGAGGUGAGUGGAAUGCCGAGUGUAGAGGUGAAAUUCGUAGAUAUUCGGCGGAACACCAGUGGCGAAGGCGACUCACUGGCCCGAUACUGACGCUGAUGCGCGAAAGCGUGGGGAGCAAACAGG